RNAcentral lists this transfer RNA (69 nucleotides) under Trichonephila clavata. It matches the Rfam family "tRNA". From Rfam's summary of the family: Transfer RNA (tRNA) molecules are approximately 80 nucleotides in length. Their secondary structure includes four short double-helical elements and three loops (D, anti-codon, and T loops). Lineage: Eukaryota; Metazoa; Arthropoda; Arachnida; Araneae; Nephilidae. The record is from Rfam by way of RNAcentral.
UCCGGCAUGGUCUAGUGGUUAGGAUACCUGGCUCUCACCCAGGAGGCCGGUUCGAUUCCGGUGUCGGAA